GUCUAUGGCCACGCAACCCUGAACAAGCCCGAUCCCAUCUGAUCUCGAAAGCUAAGCAGGGUCGGGCCUGGUUAGUACUUGGAUGGGAGACCACCUAGGAAGAUCAGGUGCUGUAGGCA
This 119-nucleotide ribosomal RNA is filed under the name Pteropus alecto (black flying fox). The record is from RNAcentral. Lineage: Eukaryota; Metazoa; Chordata; Mammalia; Chiroptera; Pteropodidae.